GACGAACGCUGGCGGCGUGCUUAACACAUGCAAGUCGAACGGAAAGGCCCUGCUUUUGUGGGGUGCUCGAGUGGCGAACGGGUGAGUAACACGUGAGUAACCUGCCCUUGACUUUGGGAUAACUUCAGGAAACUGGGGCUAAUACCGGAUAGGAGCUCCUGCUGCAUGGUGGGGGUUGGAAAGUUUCGGCGGUUGGGGAUGGACUCGCGGCUUAUCAGCUUGUUGGUGGGGUAGUGGCUUACCAAGGCUUUGACGGGUAGCCGGCCUGAGAGGGUGACCGGCCACAUUGGGACUGAGAUACGGCACAGACUCCUACGGGAGGCAGCAGUGGGGAAUAUUGCACAAUGGGCGGAAGCCUGAUGCAGCAACGCCGCGUGCGGGAUGACGGCCUUCGGGUUGUAAACCGCUUUCGCAUGUGACGAAGCGUGAGUGACGGUAAUGGGUAAAGAAGCACCGGCUAACUACGUG
Molecule: ribosomal RNA, 468 nt
Filed under: uncultured bacterium
Lineage: Bacteria
Description: partial 16S ribosomal RNA
Rfam family: Bacterial small subunit ribosomal RNA
Source: RNAcentral